RNAcentral lists this ribosomal RNA (258 nucleotides) under uncultured bacterium. RNAcentral describes it as "partial 16S ribosomal RNA". It matches the Rfam family "Bacterial small subunit ribosomal RNA", at positions 99 to 354 of the family's 1533-position model. The record is from RNAcentral.
CGGACGGGUGAGUAACGCGUGGGGAACCUGCCCUGUACCGGGGGAUAGCAGCCGGAAACGGCUGAUAAUACCGCAUAAGCGCACGAAUGUCGCAUGACAUGGUGUGAAAAACUCCGGUGGUAUAGGAUGGACCCGCGUCUGAUUAGCCAGUUGGUGGGGUAAAAGCCUACCAAAGCGAAGAUCAGUAGCCUAGUUGAGAGACUGACCGGCCACAUUGGGACUGAGACACGGCCCAGACUCCUACGGGAGGCAGCAGAC